Molecule: long non-coding RNA, 648 nt
Organism: Catharus ustulatus (Swainson's thrush)
Lineage: Eukaryota; Metazoa; Chordata; Aves; Passeriformes; Turdidae
Exons: 2
Source: RefSeq, a predicted model, not a curated record
GGAGCAGAAUUUCAGCCCAGCUCCAAAUUCCAGUGGAUGUUGGAACAGAUUUCAGUCCAGUUCCAAAUUCCAGGUGAAUGUUGGAGCAGAUUUCAGUCCAGCUCCAAAUUCCAGGCAAAUGUUGGAGCAGAUUUUAGCCCAGCUCCAAAUCCCAGGUGAAUGUUGCAGCAGAUUUCAACCCAGCUCCAAAAUCAGGCAAAUGCUGGAGCAGAAUUUCAGCUAAGUUCCAAAUUCCAGGUGAAUGAUGAGCAGGAUUUCAGUCCAGCUCCAAAUUCCAGGUGAAUGUUGGAGCAGAUUUCAGCCCAGCUCCAAAUUCCAGGCAAAUGUUGAAGCAGAUUUCAGCCCAGCUCCAAAUUCCAGGAAUUCCCCCAAAUUCUUGGCUCUGGAUGGGACCACAAAGCCUGGAGUGCUCCAUUCCAGCCUCUCCUGUUUCCUGAGCAUUCCUGGGAACAGGGAUGAGCCCAGAUCAGAGGCACAAACAGGACAAGAGCAGCCAGGAAAAGGAAUUUCAUGGAAUUUGGAUCCCUCCUGCUUUCCCAAGCUGCCACUGUGCCAACACCUCUGGAGGAUGGGAAUGAAGCCUUCAUUUCUGUGGUGGGAAUGUUCAUCCCAAUCCAGUCCUUCCAGUUAAAGAAUCCACUACUCUGA